CCCUGAAGUGUUGUGUUGAAUGGAGUAUGUGAUCUAUAAAGCUGAUUGAGGCUUUAUCAACUUCAGCAAAAGCCAUGCAUUCACGUUUGUAGACCUCACGGCCAUUAAACAAACCAGAGAAGAUCAAAGUCUCUUUCUUAACAAAUUUACAUCUGACGUUAACUAUGAAUUGUUUAGGGAACUGUUGUAGGUAUGUUGAGGGAACAAAAGUCACACAAAAUCUCAAAAUUAAAAACCAACAUUUUAAUUCUCCAUAAUGUAAGGAAGAUCUCCAAAAAAUAAUUAUGAUCCAAAAACAAAAACAAAUCUUGUAUAUUUGCUAUUAUAGUUAAUGUACAAUUCUGAAUACGAAAAAAAAAAACAUGAUUGUAGUAAUGAAAAAAAAACUAAUCUAAAACUGAUCAAGUCUUUCCUCGGUAACAGACCACAGUGUUUGAGGUUGAUUUGAACAGCGAAGAGGAUGGGAGAGGGGGAGGGAGGCAGUGCAGGAGAGACAGGUGUAGGCAAUGGGGAGGGAGGGGGGGGGGGGGGGGGGUUGGGCGCAAGUGUCCCUCACACACACUCACGAAAUGCCCAUCUUUACUGUUCUCCAUCCACACACAGCAACAAGUUGAGAUAGUGAAGGUGCUGCAUGAAGUACUUUUGUUUAAGGGGUUAGAAAACAAAAAUUACACUGAGCAAUACAAAUGUAAUUCUAAGGCAUGAAUGUCACUAUCCCUAUGCUUUUCUGUGCGCUGUUUGUUGUUUUGCAUUCAUGUUCUUGCUCUGGUCUUGAAAACCGUAUACAAAUGCAAAACAAGAAAAGCGUGCAUAGAGUGGCAGUCGUGUUGAGAAAAGACUGUUUCCAUCAAGCCUUGAGAAUGACAUUAAUAUCGCAGGUCAAGCUUGUCUUUCUCUCCAGGAAAAGCUGCAUUGAGCACCUGUUAAGUUUUGGACCUCUGUAGAAAAUUGGUCUGAACUUGCUUCUUCAGUAGUAAAUGUCUUCCUCCCGAUAAGAAUGAGUGCAUCAUCUGAAGAGCCUGCUCCCCCCUCUCAUUCUCCCAAUCGCUCUCUCUCGCUCUCCCUCUUUCAUUUUUUUUUUGUCUUUGGGAGGGGCAGAGGAGACUACACUACGCUAUUUCUCCCCCACAACACCAUUGCUCAUUUGGAAUAAUGUGUUCCUGUCAACAGUGCCACCCCUACUCUAUCCUAGUGAACCCUACGGAAAAAUGUCUUCAAACCAUAUGCACUGACUAAUGACACUUGCAGAGCAUGACAUUCCCGGGAGAAUGUACACUACUUGGGACUAAACGACCAGUGGCGCGCUAUAUUCAGGGCCAGGCUAAUCAUAGAGGUGAAGUCUUGUUCAUAGGGGGAAUACGUGUGUGUGUGUGUGUGUGUGUGUCCUGUUACAGAGCAGAAACCCAUCGACCUCGGUGCGCCUGAGUAUUUCUGGAUUUCUAGCUCUGUAGUCAAACCCAGUGCUAAGACGCUUUGCCCCGCGUCUACAAGUGAGUAAGGCUAUUCAAGAGCGAAGUGCACACACCCCCACCCCACCCCACCCUUUUAGUACUCACCACAUUUGGAUCAUAG
Molecule: long non-coding RNA, 1572 nt
Organism: Clupea harengus (Atlantic herring)
Lineage: Eukaryota; Metazoa; Chordata; Actinopteri; Clupeiformes; Clupeidae
Source: Ensembl